UCGCAUCGAGACGGGCCCGCGGCCCAUUAGCUUGUUGGUGAGGUAACGGCUCACCAAGGCUGCGAUGGGUAGCUGGUCUGAGAGGACGAUCAGCCACACUGGGACUGAGACACGGCCCAG
RNAcentral lists this ribosomal RNA (120 nucleotides) under uncultured bacterium. RNAcentral describes it as "partial 16S ribosomal RNA". It matches the Rfam family "Bacterial small subunit ribosomal RNA", at positions 215 to 334 of the family's 1533-position model. The record is from RNAcentral.